Molecule: non-coding RNA, 135 nt
Organism: Triticum aestivum (bread wheat)
Lineage: Eukaryota; Viridiplantae; Streptophyta; Magnoliopsida; Poales; Poaceae
Source: Rfam
GACAUACUCCCUCCAUCCAAAAAUACUUGUCAUCAAAAUGGAUAAAAAGAGAUGUAUCUAGAACUAAAAUACGUCUACAUACAUCCUCUUGUAUCCAUUUUGAUGACAAGUAUUUUCGGACGAAGGGAGUAUGAG